This is a non-coding RNA of Hydra vulgaris (swiftwater hydra), 2162 nucleotides long. Lineage: Eukaryota; Metazoa; Cnidaria; Hydrozoa; Anthoathecata; Hydridae. The record is from RefSeq and is a predicted model, not a curated record.
UGUUUUGGAACUGUUCUUGUCAAUUCCAUUAAAAGUAACUUAAAACAAAUGCCUGUUAUUUUGAAUUUACACAAAAAAUAGAUCAACAUUAAAAUCUGUUUAUGUUAUAUUUAACACCCAAAAUCUGCCCAUUAGAUACUUGUUUUGAACUUUUUUAACAAACUACUAUUUUAACAGUCGCACAAAUACCAUCACAGAAAGAUUUGUUGUAGCUGGUAGCAAAAAAUACUCAUUCAGCAUUUAAAUCAAAGUCUAUGCUGCGAUAAGAUAAAUUGAAAGAUAAGUUUUGAAAGUUUUAAAGUUACAUUGCACAGCCAUCAGAAAAAUACUUCCACGUGAUACAAAAAAACCAUGUGUCAUGAUUAUAUUCUACUGAAAGAAACAUUUACUAAACAAAAGCAAACAUAUAAGAAGAGUCAGAAAUUGCGAUCCUGGAGAUUAUCCCAUAGAUGUUCAGCAAGCUUUGGAAAGAUCUAUAGAGUUUUAUGAUUUGAAAUCUUCUUAAUUAAUGAUGUAAUGGUUUAGUGAUUUGUAAGUGAGAGGUUCUGAGUUCGAUUUCCACCAUGUUCCUGGUUACACUACAAUCAGCUAUAGUUGAAAAAGAAGUCUAUAAUUUAUAAACAAAUUUUUUUUACAAGCUGUAGGUUUUUAUUUAUUUUUUAAUGCGUAGUUUUAAUUUUUAUCACAGGUUGUUUUGUACUCAUGGUAACAUAAGUACAAAAACUUAUGGUAACAUAAGUAAAAGAACCAAAAUUUAAGCAUACCAGUAGUUACACAAAAGAACUAAAAUUUAAAAUAUUUAUGCACAUAAAUUUGCUGUAUGGUCACAAACAAUCAAUCAACACUUAAGGGAAAACGGAGGUACAUUAGAAUAAAAGGGAUUUAUUUUUCAAACAAAGCAUAUUUUGUUGGUUGUCAAGACAAAAAUAAAGAUUAUAAGAUGAAUAUUCAAAAAUAUACAAAUACGAUGGCAACAAUAAGACAGACAAUGCUCUCAAACAGUACUUUCAAUUAAAUUUUUUUUUUUUUUUUAAACAAAAAUAAACAGAUAUACAACAAAUAUCACCAAACAAAAACUUAUAAAGCAAAAAAUUUAAUACAAAAUAAAAAGUAUGUAUACAAAUAUUUUAAGCCUAAGAAUGAAAAAAAUAAAUAAAUAAAUCAUUUACCACUCCACUGGUAGAAAACAUGAACUCACAGUAAAUUAAAAUUCUAAUGAAAACACCAAAGCAAAACUAAAAUAACUCAAGUAUGUAAACAAAAAUAAUAAUAAAUUUCCCUCUAAGACAAUUAAAACCAAAUAUGUGCAUCCAGCAUAAAUAAACCAAAGACAAUAAAAUUGCAAUAUACCCUAUUAAAAACCCUUUUAAAAUAAAUAAAACACAAUAAGUCUUAUAAAGUCAAUAAGUUUUAUAAAUUAUACACAAUAAGUCUAAUAAAGUUUUCAAUAAACUCUAACAUUGUCAUAGAUACUUCAUUUGAAUUUUGUUAAUCUAAAAUGUAAGAUUGUAAAUGUAACAAAAAUUAAAUAAUAUAUGAUAGUGGAAAAAACAUUACACAAAAAAAAUCAUUGAAAAUGUUACCUGCUAAAAUAUAAAAAUUUAAACAUGAAGGAUAUAAGAUCGUUUUAAAACACCAAAGUUGUGAAAAUUAAAACAAAGCUGAAGAAUAUGAGAUAAUAUAGCAUAAAUAUUCCUUGAUAAUAAUAAUAAUAUGAAAAUCAAUUGAUAAAUAAUAUAUUUGAAAGUACUGUUAUAUGACUUAAAUUAAUGCUUUAACAAGGCUAAAUAAAUUUUAGCCGAAUGGAUGGUUAAUAAAAUAUUUUCAUUGAUAUCACAAUGAUUUAAGGUGUGGGAAAAAAUAUUUUUUAGAAGUAAAGUUUUCUCUUGUGGACAAGUUAUGUCAAAAUCAGAAAAGUUUACUGUUAGCCCUUAAUACUUAAUUAUUCCAGAGUUUGGUCAUAUAUUUUCAAUUGUUGCUUAUUGAUGUAUAGAUCAAGUAAGCUAAAAUUUGUAGUGUUGAUUUUUAUUUAUAUAUAAAAUCUGUUGAUUGAAAAAAUUUGAACUAAAUCUGAGUCAGUAAGCAAAUUUAUUUUCACUUUAAAAAGUAAAUUAUUUUCAUAUGGAAUAACCUAUAAACCAUGAGUUCACUUUGUAAUGUAA